UGGGGAAUCUUGCGCAAUGGGCGAAAGCCUGAUGCAGCAACGCCGCGUGCGGGAUGAAGGCCUUCGGGUUGUAAACCGCUUUUGGCAGGGAAGAAAUUGCCGGUACUUGUAGAAGACGCUCCUGCCAGUUCCGUGAGAGCAAGCGCCGGCUUACGACGGGCCCACAGCCUGGGUGGAAUGAAGGGGCGAAACGGGAGCGUAGGUGGCUGGGGAUGUAGGGUGGGAAGUCCGGGGGCUAAACCCCGGGAG
Molecule: ribosomal RNA, 249 nt
Filed under: uncultured organism
Description: partial 16S ribosomal RNA
Rfam family: Bacterial small subunit ribosomal RNA
Source: RNAcentral